This 484-nucleotide ribosomal RNA is filed under the name uncultured bacterium. RNAcentral describes it as "partial 16S ribosomal RNA". It matches the Rfam family "Bacterial small subunit ribosomal RNA", at positions 30 to 507 of the family's 1533-position model. The record is from RNAcentral.
AUUGAACGCUGGCGGCAGGCCUAACACAUGCAAGUCGAGCGGAUGAAGGGAGCUUGCUCCUGGAUUCAGCGGCGGACGGGUGAGUAAUGCCUAGGAAUCUGCCUGGUAGUGGGGGAUAACGUCCGGAAACGGGCGCUAAUACCGCAUACGUCCUGAGGGAGAAAGUGGGGGACCUUCGGACCUCACGCUAUCAGAUGAGCCUAGGUCGGAUUAGCUAGUUGGUGGGGUAAAGGCCUACCAAGGCGACGAUCCGUAACUGGUCUGAGAGGAUGAUCAGUCAACCUGGAACUUAGGCACCGGUCCGACUUCCAAGGGAAGCCACCGUUGGGAAUAUUUGACAAUGGGCGAAAGCCUGAUCCAGCCAUGCCGCGUGUGUGAAGAAGGUCUUCGGAUUGUAAAGCACUUUAAGUUGGGAGGAAGGGCAGUAAGUUAAUACCUUGCUGUUUUGACGUUACCAACAGAAUAAGCACCGGCUAACUUCGUG